This 442-nucleotide ribosomal RNA is filed under the name uncultured bacterium. Its description in RNAcentral is "partial 16S ribosomal RNA". It matches the Rfam family "Bacterial small subunit ribosomal RNA", at positions 338 to 795 of the family's 1533-position model. The record is from RNAcentral.
CCUACGGGCGGCAGCAGUAGGGAAUCUUUCACAAUGGGCGAAAGCCUGAUGGAGCAACGCCGCGUGCAGGAUGAAGGCCUUCGGGUUGUAAACUGCUUUUAUAAGCGAGAAAUAUGACGGUAACUUAUGAAUAAGGAUCGGCUAACUACGUGCCAGCAGCCGCGGUCAUACGUAGGAUCCGAGCAUUAUCCGGAGUGACUGGGUGUAAAGAGUUGCGUAGGUGGCAUAAUAAGUAGCUAGUGAAAUCUGGUGGCUCAACCAUUCAGACUAUUAGCUAAACUGUUAAGCUCGAGACCGUUAGGGGUAACUGGAAUUUCUAGUGUAGGAGUGAAAUCCGUAGAUAUUAGAAGGAACACCAAUAGCGUAGGCAGGUUGCUGGGACGGUUCUGACACUAAGGCACGAAAGCGUAGGGAGCAAACGGGAUUAGAUACCCCUGUAGUC